This 1404-nucleotide ribosomal RNA is filed under the name Didemnum sp. PNG_11089. RNAcentral describes it as "partial 18S ribosomal RNA". It matches the Rfam family "Eukaryotic small subunit ribosomal RNA", at positions 423 to 1482 of the family's 1831-position model. Lineage: Eukaryota; Metazoa; Chordata; Ascidiacea; Aplousobranchia; Didemnidae. The record is from RNAcentral.
AGGCAGCAGGCGCGCAAAUUACCCAUUUCAGACUCUGAGAGGUAGUGACGAGAAAUACCGAUGCCGGGCCUCGACGGGCGCCGACAAUCGAAAUGAGCGCAGCUCAAAACACUGAUGUCGUUCCGUUCAACGGUCGGGCGUCGCGAGGCGCCUCGGCCGCUUGGGCGUGUGUCGUGCAAGUAUCGAUCGGAGGGCAAGUCUGGUGCCAGCAGCCGCGGUAAUUCCAGCUCCGAAAGCGUAUGCUCAUGCUGUUGCGGUUGAAAAGCUCGUAGUUGGAAAUAAGCUUUUCGCCGAUCGGGCGCCGGCCGCGAGGCCGCGCGUCGCGUUCGAAACGAAAGAUGGUGGACGUUCGGCGGGCGCGUUCCGAGAGGGCGCGUCCGCGCGAGUUCGAAGGCGGACGGCCGGCGUGGCUCCCAUCUCGAUGGAAGUUGCACGUCGAGAGUCGUUCGCAAGUUGCCCUGAAGAAAUUGAAGCGAUCAGGGCGGGUCGACGUUAAGCGUGACUCGGGCCGCGAGGCUCGAAGUCGACCGAGAACAGUCGUGCAUGGUACAACGGAAGACGGCCGCGGCUCUGCCGCCGGCGUCGAGAUAUGUGCGCGUGGCAAUGAUCAAGAGGGACGGACGGGGGCAUUCGUACUGUGCCGGGAGGGGUGAAAUCCGUGGAUCGGCGCAAGACGAACAGAAGCGAAGCGUCUGCCAAGGACGUUUUCCUUAAUCAAGAGCGAAAGUCGGAGGUUCGAAGACGAUCAGAUACCGUCGUAGUUCCGACCGUAAACGAUGCCGACCGCAUGGUCGCCCACGUAUUCAAAGAUCUCACUCGGGUCGCGCGCCUGCGGCGUGUCGGUGCUCGCGCGUCCCUCGCGGACGGUCGGCGAGGCCGCGCGUCGCGGCCCGCUCGAGGGAUCGGGCAUGUCGGGGUGGCCGUGCCGGGAGGGAAACCGGAGUCUUCGGGUUCCGGGGGAAGUAUGGUUGCAAAGCUGAAACUUGAAGGAAUUGACGGAAGGGCACCACCAGGAGUGGAGCCUGCGGCUUAAUUUGACUCAACGCGGGGAAACUCACCCGGCCCGGACGUUACGAGGAUUGACAGAUUGAAAGCUCUUUCUCGAUUUAGCGGAUGGUGGUGCAUGGCCGUUCUUAGUUCGUGGAACGAUUCGUCUGGUUGAUUCCGAUAACGAACGAGACUCGAAUUUACUCAUGUAUGCGGGCCCGAUGCUGCGCGUCGUGCCGGCUUCGCGCGGGCGUCUCUCGGGGCGCUCGCCGGGCCGCUCGUCGCCAGGUUGUGCGAUCGGGUCGCGUUCGCGGCGGCGAAGGUCGCGCGCGACGCGAAAGUAUUCUCAGAAGGACCGGCGGCGGUUAAGCCGCACGAGAUCGAGCGAUAACAGGUCUGUGAUGCCCUUCGAUGUUC